AAAAUAUCUGCUAUUGCCAUCUGUAAUGAAAUUGAUUUGAAAAAUAUUGUUUAAAGCUGCAGUUAUUUUGGGUUUAAAUAGAUGUAUAAAAACGGCGAAUAUGUGUCCCCCAUUGACAAAACAUCAGGCAAUUUCAAACACCCUUUAAUCUAACUUUUCAGAUGAUUAUUUUCAAACAAACACGUUUUCAAGCUUAAGAAUAUUUUGCAUUUGAAGUUAUCUUCAUAUAGAAAAAUAUCAGUAUACUUCAAAUACAUAUAGAUCUGAACAUAAACUGUGGAAAACAUGGAAAG
Molecule: long non-coding RNA, 293 nt
Filed under: Mytilus galloprovincialis (Mediterranean mussel)
Lineage: Eukaryota; Metazoa; Mollusca; Bivalvia; Mytilida; Mytilidae
Source: RNAcentral